RNAcentral lists this ribosomal RNA (315 nucleotides) under uncultured eukaryote. RNAcentral's name for it is "partial 18S ribosomal RNA". It matches the Rfam family "Eukaryotic small subunit ribosomal RNA", at positions 1470 to 1796 of the family's 1831-position model. The record is from RNAcentral.
CCCUUAGACGUUCUGGGCCGCACGCGCGCUACACUGACCAGUGCAACAAGCAUCCGUCCUUGGCCGACAGGCCCGGGCAAUCUUUGAACGCUGGUCGUGAUGGGGAUAGACUUUUGCAAUUUUUGGUCUUCAACGAGGAAUUCCUAGUAAACGCAGGUCAUCAACUUGCAUUGAUUACGUCCCUGCCCUUUGUACACACCGCCCGUCGCACCUACCGAUUGAAUGGUCCGGUGAAGCCUCCGGAUUGGCGCGCACCUCGGUGCCGCCGAGAAGUUGGCUAAACCUUACCAUUUAGAGGAAGGUGAANUCGUAACA